Molecule: ribosomal RNA, 253 nt
Filed under: uncultured bacterium
Lineage: Bacteria
Description: partial 16S ribosomal RNA
Rfam family: Bacterial small subunit ribosomal RNA
Source: RNAcentral
UACGUAGGGUGCAAGCGUUGCCCGGAUUUAUUGGGCGUAAAGGGCGCGUAGGCGGCUCGGCACGUCCGUUGUGAAAUCGCCCGGCUCAACUGGGCGGGGUCAGCGGAUACGGCCGAGCUUGAGCAAGCUAGGGGGCAAUGGAAUUCCCGGUGUAGUGGUGAAAUGCGUAGAUAUCGGGAGGAAUACCAGUGGCGAAGGCGGCUUCCUGGACCAAUUCUGACGCUGAGGAGCGAAAGCCAGGGGAGCAAACGGG